GACGAACGCUGGCGGCGUGCUUAAUACAUGCAAGUCGAGCGGACGGGCGCUGCUCUUGUGGGGUGCUCGUGUGGCGAACGGGUGAGUAACACGCGAGUAACCUCCCCUUGACUGUGUGAUAACUCCAGGAGACUGGGGCUCAUACAGGAUAGAAGCUCCUGCUCCACGUGGGUGGUUGGAGAAUUUCGGCGGUGGGGGCUGGACUCGCGGCUUAUCAGCUGCUUGGGCGGGUAGGUGCUGACCAAGCCUUUGACGGGUAGCCGGCCUGAGAGGGUGACCGGCGACAUUGGGCCUGCGGUAGGGCCCAGUCGCCUACGGGCGGCAGCAGUGGGGAGUAUUGCGCAAUGGGCCGAAGUCUGAUACAGCAACCCCGCGUGCGGGAUGCUGGGCUACGGGUUGUAAACAUCUUUCGCCGGUGACGAAGCGUGAGUGACGGUAAUGGGUAAGGAAGCACCGGCUAACUACGUG
Molecule: ribosomal RNA, 468 nt
Filed under: uncultured bacterium
Lineage: Bacteria
Description: partial 16S ribosomal RNA
Rfam family: Bacterial small subunit ribosomal RNA
Source: RNAcentral